This 327-nucleotide ribosomal RNA is filed under the name uncultured eukaryote. RNAcentral describes it as "partial 18S ribosomal RNA". It matches the Rfam family "Eukaryotic small subunit ribosomal RNA", at positions 1470 to 1796 of the family's 1831-position model. The record is from RNAcentral.
UCCUUAGAUGUUCUGGGCCGCACGCGCGCUACACUGACGGAUUCAACGAGCUUACAACCUUGGCCGAAAGGUCUGGGUAAUCUCCAAAAUCCGUCGUGAUGGGGAUAGAUUAUUGCAAUUAUUAAUCUUCAACGAGGAAUGCCUAGUAAGCGCAAGUCAUCAGCUUGCGUUGAUUACGUCCCUGCCCUUUGUACACACCGCCCGUCGCUCCUACCGAUUGAAUGGUCCGGUGAAGCGUUUGGACUAUGGUUUUCUGAUGGUCCGCCGUUGGAUUACCGUGGGAAGUUCGUUAAACCUUAUCAUUUAGAGGAAGGAGAAGUCGUAACA